CCUACGGGGGGCAGCAGUGGGGAAUAUUGGACAAUGGUGGGAACCCUGAUCCAGCCAUGCCGCGUGUGUGAAGAAGGCCCUCGGGUUGUAAAGCACUUUCAGUGAGGAAGAACGCCUGGUGGUUAAUACCCAUCAGGAAAGACAUCACUCACAGAAGAAGCACCGGCUAACUCCGUGCCAGCAGCCGCGGUAAUACGGAGGGUGCGAGCGUUAAUCGGAAUUACUGGGCGUAAAGCGCGCGUAGGUGGCUUGAUAAGCCGGUUGUGAAAGCCCCGGGCUCAACCUGGGAACGGCAUCCGGAACUGUCAAGCUAGAGUGCAGGAGAGGAAGGUAGAAUUCCCGGUGUAGCGGUGAAAUGCGUAGAGAUCGGGAGGAAUACCAGUGGCGAAGGCGGCCUUCUGGACUGACACUGACACUGAGGUGCGAAAGCGUGGGUAGCAAACAGGAUUAGAUACCCUGGUAGUC
This 465-nucleotide ribosomal RNA is filed under the name Vreelandella stevensii. RNAcentral describes it as "partial 16S ribosomal RNA". It matches the Rfam family "Bacterial small subunit ribosomal RNA", at positions 338 to 795 of the family's 1533-position model. Lineage: Bacteria; Pseudomonadati; Pseudomonadota; Gammaproteobacteria; Oceanospirillales; Halomonadaceae. The record is from RNAcentral.